Apteryx haastii (Great spotted kiwi) is the source of this 173-nucleotide unclassified non-coding RNA. NCBI's taxonomy places the organism in Eukaryota, Metazoa, Chordata, Aves, Apterygiformes, Apterygidae. The record is from Ensembl.
CAGAAAGCACUGGAGACAAAGAGCUGCUAUUAACCUGCAGAUGCUACUGCAAGGUUCAUUCUGAGAUUGGUCACACUGCUUGGCCAAUGGAGUGCUCGUGUGACUAGAAGGGACCACCCUAUUCUGGGGUGAGAGGGCAAUUUGGUCUCCAUGCUCAUUUAAUCCUGAGAUCU